Molecule: long non-coding RNA, 1299 nt
Filed under: Sus scrofa (pig)
Lineage: Eukaryota; Metazoa; Chordata; Mammalia; Artiodactyla; Suidae
Description: lncRNA (ENSSSCG00015074718.1)
Source: RNAcentral
UGUGUCCUCAUGGAUACUAGUCAGGUUUGUUAACCACUGAGGCAUGACGGGAACUCCUUAUGUUGGUAUAUUUUCACCCUACAUUAUAAUGUUUUUUAUUUAGGGCCAAAACCCAUGCAGAGUGUGUAGGUAUCACCUGGCAGCUGCUAGAGAUGCAGGUUCUUGCUUCCCACCUCAGACCCCCAGAAUUGGAAUCUGCAUUCUAGCAAGAUCCCAGGUGAUUCUCAUGCUCAGUGAAGUAGAAGUACUGGACCACUGAGGGCUGAGAGAACGAGGUGUGGUUGCUCUCUGUCCACUCCUCUCCCACACGGACUGCUGCAGUCGUGGAAAUGAUCACAUCCAGGAAAUGCAGGAGAAGGGAGGACAGGCAUUGCAUUCUGACCACCCAGGUUCCAGUGCCAGCCCUGCCCCUACCCCUCUACCGAGGUACCGGACCUCAGGACAGAUGACAGCAGUGCCUGGAGCUGCCCUUCCUCCACAGGACGAGGCCAAUACCUGUACUUCUCUAGGCCCCAGGGGUGGCCCUCCCUCUCUUCCAGAUGCUGUCCAUCAAACGUCUUCCUCCUCCCUUCUCCUUCUCUCAUGGCCCUUGCACUUUGGGUUUGUUGGAGGAAAAGAGGAAUGACUCAAGGGGGAGAGAACGAAGAAGUAGUUUGUGAGGAACUGAAUGACCCUACACCCUGGUCUCCUGUAUUAUAACCUACUUCAGGGCGCACACUUUUCUUUGUCCCCGUGGACAAAUAGCCCUUGCCUAGAUUUGGUCAUCUCAUAUCUGCAUGUCUUUUUACUUUGGUGUCGAAUCUCUAAUCUUUUUUUUUUUUUUUUUUUUUUUUGGUCUUUUUGCCAUUUCUUGGGCCGCUCCAGCGGCAUAUGGAGCUUCCCAGGCUAGGGGUCAAAUCGGAGCUGUAGCUGCCGGCCUACACCAUAGCCACAGCUACUCAGGAUCCGAGCCGCAUCUGAGACCUACACCACAGCUCGAGGCAAUGCUGGAUCCUUAACGCACUGAGCAAGGCCAGGAAUCGAACCUGCAACCUCAUGGUUCCUAGUCAGCAUUCGGUAACCACUGAGCCAUGACAGGAACUCCUCCAAGCAGUCUUUUUGAGGAAGGGAAAUAUAGCCAGAGUCAUUUUCUUUACCUACCCUCCUGGGACUUGGCUUCAGUGUGUACACAAGUGGCCAUUAUAGUAUGGGAUGGAGCCAGGGGAGGGAAAAGAACACGAGUGGGAUCUUGGCUUAAUAGACAUUAAUCUACAGUAGGUGCUCAAUAAAUGUUUAAAGACUAUGUCUUUCUGUGCUUGU